This 3057-nucleotide small RNA is filed under the name Pongo abelii (Sumatran orangutan). Its description in RNAcentral is "retained intron". Lineage: Eukaryota; Metazoa; Chordata; Mammalia; Primates; Hominidae. The record is from RNAcentral.
UCUUGAGAGAAUAUAAAGAAGGAGUUGGAAAGUUUAUAGUCUGUGUCUGUGUGGAGUGUUGCAGGACGAGUGGAAAUGACUGUUUCCAAGUUCAUGGCAAUUCAGCAGGCCCUUCAGCCAGACUGGUUCCAGUGCCUCUCUGAUGGAGAAGUAUCUUGUAAGGAAGCAACUUCCAUAAAAAGGGUCAGAAAGUCUGUUGACCGAUCACUUCUUUUCUUGGAUAACUGUCUGCGGCUGCAGGAAGAGUCAGAGGUUCUUCAGAAGAGUGUGAUCAUUGGAGUGAUUGAAGGUGGAGAUGUGAUGGAAGAGAGGCUGAGGUCAGCACGAGAGACAGCCAAGCGGCCUGUGGGUGGCUUCCUUCUGGAUGGUUUUCAAGGAAAUCCAACAACCCUGGAGACUAGACUACGCUUGCUGUCAUCAGUCACUGCAGAGCUGCCGGAGGACAAGCCAAGGCCAGUGUUCAGUUAGGACACAGGCCGGCCUCAAGAGAUGCAGGGCAGGAGUGCUGGCCGAUUGUAUAUUACAUAGUGUCUGUGCAUGGGCAUGCCUUUGAUGUUUUGAUUAUGUCCUUUCUGGGCUGAGUCUGCCAAGGUGCUGAGGCAGACUGUAAGGGGAGUUUCCAUCAAGGCUGUCCUGGCCUUGAUUUCAGAAUGUAGAGUAGAGGAUAAUUGCCAUUUGAAUUAUGUUAUUUGAUCCUCCUAAGUGAGAGCAAGUAUUAUACUGUUUCCCCUCAUUCUUGUGCCAAUUACAAAUAUUGUUGUUAUAACAUGGUACCUGGAGACCAAGUGUAAAGUCACAUGGAACUCUGGUUUAAAUCGAGGAAAGUUGAGGACAGAUCUAGGAUGACUAGUGAGAAGAUGAGCUCCACCAAGAACUUAAGAAGCUCUUAGAUUUGAGGCCGGUAGUGAGUGGUGUCAAUUUUUGAAGUUGAGGGGACUGACAACACUAGUAGGAUUGGUUCUUACGUUUCCAUAAAUUGCAGGAUUCACCUUGUGCUGAUAAGAAAAGAUGAUCUGCAAGAUUUGAAGCUACAAAUUCUGAGUUUCUGAAUGCAGCUGAUGUCGUAUUAGGCUACCCACAUUUUUUUAAUGGUUUGUUAUCUUAAUGUAAAUAUUCAUGCUUUUUUCCUGCAUGUAUAUUAAGAAGUUUGGUUGUGGGGUGCUGCUCUAUAGUCCUCUAGAGCUGUUGGAUAGUAUAUAAUAUUAUAAUAUGUGUAAUUUUACUACUUUUUUUUUUUUGAGAUGGAGUUUUGCUCUUGUUGCCCAGGCUGGAGUUCAAUGGCAUGAUCUUGGCUCACUGCAACCCCCGCCUCCCAGGUUCAAGUGAUUCUCCUGCCUCAGCCUCCUGAGCAGCUGGGAUUACAGGCAUACGCCACCAUGCCUGGCUAGUUUUGUAUUUUUAGUGGAGACGGAGUUUCUCCUUGUUGGUCAGGCUGGUCUCGAACUCCCAACCUCAGGUGAUCCGCCUGCCUUGGCCUCCCAAAGUGCUGGGAUUACAGGCGCGAUUUUACUACUUUUUUAAAGAUCCAGGUACAACUUGGAGGAAAGCACAUGAAUCUUACAUAUAGCUCAAUUAAUUUUCACAUGUCUACACUUGUGUAAACACUACCUAGAACAAGGUAUUUCCAUCACCUCAGCCAGCCUUUGAUCCCCAAUUUUAACCUAGUUCUUUUGUGUUCAUUGCUCCCUCUCCUGUACUUGUUUCACUCUGGUGCACAUAACACUUCAGCACUAGUAUUUCUAGACAUUUUCUGGGCUUCUUCAUGUUAAGUGCUCACAGAUGUCUGUUACUGAAUUUGAAAGCUGGAUUGUUUUUCUUUCUGUAAGUGUGUAGAAAUGCCAGCUUCAGUUGGAUAGGAGUUCUAAAACAUUACAUUACUUGAAGGAAACUGUAGUCAGGAAAACCAGCAUGUAUUUAUAAGAGUUCUGCUUAUUUAAUAUUACAUGAGCCUUUUUUUUUGCAUUUCUGUGCCAGUUCUUAGAAAGGGGCUAUAGGUAGAAAAACAAACAUAAAAAAGAGCAGCAGCCAGCCAGCCCUGAUUUAGUGCAUCUCCACAUCUGUUUUCAUGGAGUGGCAAAACCUGGCUGAGUGCUGUUAAUAGUCUCAGAAUGCCUUACCUAUUACAAGUUGAGUAUCCUUUAUCCAAAAUGCUGGGGACCAGAAGUGCUUGAGAUUUUGGAUUUUUUCAGAUCUUGGAAUAUUUGCAGAGUACAUACUGGUUGGACAUCCCUAAUUUGAAAGUCCAAAAUCCAAAAUUCUCCAGUGAGCAUUUCCUUUCAGUGUCAUGUUGGUGCUCAAAAAGUUUCAGAUUUUGGAGCAUUUUGGAUUUCAGAUUUUCGGAUUAAGGAUGCUCAACCUGUACCUUGGAAAACACCAUCUUAUUCCACAGUGCAGACUUUUUAUUAAUGGAGAAAAUAUAAAGAAAGCCAACUAGAUUCUUAGAUCCUAUGGCCAGAGGUGAAAUCUUGACAGCAAGAGUUGCUUUGUAAAUUAACUUAUGAGGGAUAUAGUAGAUUAAAAUGUCUUCAUUGCACCAAUUAUGAAAAAUUAUUAUAGGCAAAAUACAGUUAAAACAAGCAAAAUAUUUCAGCAAGAAAUAAAGCACACAGCUUUGCACUCCUAAAAAAUCUAUAUAGUGUAUAGAAGAUAGGCUAUAAAGGGCUAUAAAGUUUAGUUUAUGACCAGGGAGGUUGUUCAGAAAGGAUGAUAGUUGAGAGGAAACUAACCUUUAUUGAACUUCUCUCUGGGAUCAGAAACUAUACUAUGGGCUGGGCGCGGUGGCUCACACCUGUAAUCCCAGCACUUUGGGAGGCCAAGGUGGGCGGAUCACCUGAGGUCAGGAGUUCAAGACCAGCCUGGCCAACAUGGUGAAACCCCAUCUCUACUAAAAAUAUAAAAAUCGGCUGGGCGUGGUGGUGGGCACCUAUAAUACCAGCUGCUAGGGAGGCUGAGGCAGGAGAAUUGCUCCUGGAAGGUGGAGGUUGCAGUGAGUCAAGUUUGCAUCAUCGCACUCCAGCCUGGGCAACAAGAGCAAGACUCUGUCUCAAAAAAAAAAAA